This 293-nucleotide ribosomal RNA is filed under the name uncultured microorganism. RNAcentral describes it as "partial 16S ribosomal RNA". It matches the Rfam family "Bacterial small subunit ribosomal RNA", at positions 505 to 796 of the family's 1533-position model. The record is from RNAcentral.
GUGCCAGCAGCCGCGGUAAUACGUAGGUGGCAAGCGUUGUCCGGAAUUAUUGGGCGUAAAGCGCGCGCAGGCGGUCCUUUAAGUCUGAUGUGAAAGCCCACGGCUCAACCGUGGAGGGUCAUUGGAAACUGGGGGACUUGAGUGCAGAAGAGGAGAGCGGAAUUCCACGUGUAGCGGUGAAAUGCGUAGAGAUGUGGGAGGAACACCAGUGGCGAAGGCGGCUCUCUGGUCUGUAACUGACGCUGAGGCGNGAAAGCGUGGGGAGCAAACAGGAUUAGAUACCCUGGUAGUCC